UACAGGGGGUGCAAACGUUGCUCGGAAUCAUUGGGCGUAAAGGGUGCGUAGGUGGCGCUGUAAGUCGGGUGUGAAAUUUCGGAGCUUAACUCCGAAACUGCAUUCGAUACUGCGGUGCUUGAGGACUGGAGAGGAGACUGGAAUUCAUGGUGUAGCAGUGAAAUGCGUAGAGAUCAUGAGGAAGACCAGUGGCGAAGGCGGGUCUCUGGACAGUUCCUGACACUGAGGCACGAAGGCCAGGGGAGCAAACAGG
This 253-nucleotide ribosomal RNA is filed under the name uncultured bacterium. RNAcentral describes it as "partial 16S ribosomal RNA". It matches the Rfam family "Bacterial small subunit ribosomal RNA", at positions 524 to 776 of the family's 1533-position model. The record is from RNAcentral.